This is a long non-coding RNA of Drosophila sulfurigaster albostrigata, 718 nucleotides long. RefSeq lists it as uncharacterized. The record is from RefSeq and is a predicted model, not a curated record. The transcript has 4 exons. Lineage: Eukaryota; Metazoa; Arthropoda; Insecta; Diptera; Drosophilidae.
UUUAGUGACGUGUGCGCGACUAGUUAAGAACGAUGAUGCUCCAGUUGAGCGCAUAUGAUUAUCAAGUGAAACUUUGAACCGUUCUUUUUUUUUUUUGGUGUCAUGUGUUUGUAUGUAUGUAUAUUUAUUGAUUUUUCUACGUGCUGAACAUCUUGUGUAAAAUCUAUUUGCACUUCACACGGCGACAAUGGUCCAAUUACACUGAGAGAAAACGCAACAGCAAAAGAAGAAGUUUAGGAGAUGACAAAUUUAGCAAAAGUUGCAAAUGUUACAUUCAUCAGCAUUUAACUGGCCAUCAAACGAGAUAAUUUGAUUACAGGGCAUCUUCUGAGUCGAUCAAUGAAUUCUUAAACAAAGCCAAUAUAAGAUGGUCGCUAAGGGGAAAUAAUUUUCUCAUCCGUUGCAAACUUACUACAAAGCUAAAUCCUCAAUGGAACUCACUUUGAGCAAGCCAAAGCUCCUCGUGACAACUUGGAGUGUUUAACUACAACUACAACAACAUCAUAAUAUGCAUAUGUACAAUUGUCUCAAGAAAUCAACACAAGAAGCUACUUGGAGCUGCUAAAACGUGAGAUAAACGACAUUGAGGUAUCCUAUAAAAAGAAGAUCUUAAGCAUUUAUCCAGUAAAACCUUGCAAUAAAAGUCAUCAUAUUAGAAUACAUUUUUCCAUUUAUGUAGUAAGUCAAUAUUUGUAAUAUAGCUUGAAGCCUUAAUUCG